UCCUGGGUGGCUCAGUAGUAAAGAAUCUGCCUGCCAAGCAGGAGUCUCAGCUUCGAUUCCUGGGUUAGGAA
RNAcentral lists this transfer RNA (71 nucleotides) under Ovis aries (sheep). It matches the Rfam family "tRNA". From Rfam's summary of the family: Transfer RNA (tRNA) molecules are approximately 80 nucleotides in length. Their secondary structure includes four short double-helical elements and three loops (D, anti-codon, and T loops). Lineage: Eukaryota; Metazoa; Chordata; Mammalia; Artiodactyla; Bovidae. The record is from Rfam by way of RNAcentral.